Cladorrhinum sp. PSN259 is the source of this 108-nucleotide non-coding RNA. The record is from the annotation of a GenBank genome assembly. NCBI's taxonomy places the organism in Eukaryota, Fungi, Ascomycota, Sordariomycetes, Sordariales, Podosporaceae.
GGUUGUGUAGUGUAGUGGUCAUCACACUGGAUUUUGAGUUGACAGAAAAAUUGUCAGAUUUUGUUCGAAAUCCUUCCAGUAACCCCGGUUCGAACCCGGGCACGACCU